GUGCUAGCAAACGCCCCCACAAUUCCUCCAAUUUUGGUCUCAUUUAUUAAUGCUAUACUUAAGAGUAUGUUAAUAGCACGCAAGGAAGUCGUAGGGAAAAUGGCGAAUGCCCUGCCUACCCCCCCCCAGUCAGAUGCUAAUUGAUGCCUGGGAGGCCACACUGAAGAUGAGCGGCUCGGAGGCUGCCAGCUAAAAUACUUUAGCUCCUGCCAGUGCCCGCGUGAUUUCUUUGUGCUGACGGUGCAAAACUGAAUAAUGGCAAGAGCUCUCGGUGAUUUUUCAGAACUGCUUUCCAGGAACAAUCAGAUUCAAAUGAAAACAUCAGAGCGUCCGGAUGAAUGUUCUGCUAGCACUUGUGAGUCCACAAAUACUUGAAUGGAACAGGACAAGUAUCCAUUGAAUACUAUGAUGUGAUCAAAGCCCAAGAUCUUGUUGACUGAUUUGAUGGUUUCAAAUCAGUAUUUGAGCACAUUGAACAUGCAGGAUUGAGGAGCUCUUAAUUGCCAUGUGCUAUAUGCUAAAGGAUAUUGUGGAAUCAUUGCAUCUGCAUCAUGAGACAAGUGUGUGGAUGGUGACUGGAAAAGAACGAAAAAAAUAUAAAAUGAAGCUUUUUUUAUAUCAUUCUGGAAAUGCUGAGACAUAAAAAUGUUCAUGCAUUUAGACAAAA
Molecule: long non-coding RNA, 667 nt
Organism: Vombatus ursinus (common wombat)
Lineage: Eukaryota; Metazoa; Chordata; Mammalia; Diprotodontia; Vombatidae
Exons: 6
Source: RefSeq, a predicted model, not a curated record